GUAAAGCUUCGCCGCAGGCUCGUCGCGCAUGCCGAUCAAGCUCGCUUUCAAAUUCGCUCGCGCUUUAGGCUGACGAGAAAGCGAAGGGAUUGCGCCUUCGCCAGAUGUGAAAGCGCUCGCUCGCCGCACACUUAACCGGAUGUACAGCGGAAACACCUGAUCGUCGCGCUGCUGCGGGCCACGUUGGACGUGCCGAACUACAGAACACUCGAGGACGGUGUUCGGCGUCGAUCUCUCGUCAGAGAUGUGGCUCGUCGAUCGUUCGAUACCUUGCUUCGCGAAACACCCACAUUCACCUGGAAUCGUCGUCAGCGAGCGCCGUGCAUACGUUUCGCGACGAUUUAGGAUCAGCUUAGCAACGAUUGACAUCGACGGAAUGACUACCGCACCAGUAGAGGUGGUCAGAGCUGAAGAGCCAUGUGUAUAAAUGGGAACUCAAUUGGAGCACGAACCAUGCAGUAGAUGUAGAGCGGCUUGAUAGAGGGCGCAAGUUGGCAGGUCGAACUUUUUUCCAACUUCUGGAAUGGACAGCCGCACUUGUGGCAUAUGCUCAGAGAAGUGCCAUUCAAGUAUAAUUUUUGAGGGUUUCUUUCU
Dermacentor albipictus is the source of this 594-nucleotide long non-coding RNA. RefSeq lists it as uncharacterized. The record is from RefSeq and is a predicted model, not a curated record. NCBI's taxonomy places the organism in Eukaryota, Metazoa, Arthropoda, Arachnida, Ixodida, Ixodidae.